This is a long non-coding RNA of Gadus macrocephalus (Pacific cod), 903 nucleotides long. RefSeq lists it as uncharacterized. NCBI's taxonomy places the organism in Eukaryota, Metazoa, Chordata, Actinopteri, Gadiformes, Gadidae. The record is from RefSeq and is a predicted model, not a curated record. The transcript is spliced from 2 exons.
GCGCACAAAGUCCACCUCGGGGGUCCGCAGGGAGGCGAUGAUGCCCGCCCGGUCUAGCACCUCCUCCACCCGCGCACACCGGCCCGUCAGCUCCCUCUGGAGGGUCUGGGGAAGGACGACGAUCAAGACGUUGUUGCCGUACUCCUUAGAGGACGCCACGGGAAGCCUCUCUUGAAUCCACAGCUGCAAAAAGAAAUAAAAGUUGGUUUGGGUUUUUGUAGCGAAAAAUCAAGUUGCACACUGUAUAUCCAUUUCCACGAUUGAUCUGAUUACCCUCAAACACAAGACAUAGCGUGGUGGUGUUACGGUAUGCGGAUAGACAUAGCAAAGAGAAAAACAAGAUGUAGAGGGGGAAAACAGUAAGUAAAGUGUAGGGAGCGGGCAGGACUGGAAGGACCGCUGCUGCUCACUAUCUCAUCCUCCAGGUCCUGAGCCACUUGGUGCAUCUCCUUGGACGCCAGCAGGAUGCGGCGUCUCUCCUUCAGGGGCUCAAUGAGCCGGACGAUGCGUGUCUCCACCACGCCUGACUGCUCUCCGCCUCCCCUGUUGCCGGCCACCCGCUGGGGCGGGCACACUCCCUGCAGGCUGCCCAGAUCGCUCACAUCCUUGUAUAUGUCCCCGAUCUGGGACUCCAUGGUCUGAGCCAGGAGGCGGAGGAGGAAUAAAAGGGAAGAACGUCAUGUGAGCCGAAAAGACAAAGGGAGGCGGUAAACGACUUAAUACAAAACAUGCUUCGGAUAUUUGAUAUCAUCGACUUUCAAUGUUGUGUAAGGGGGUCUCUUCCUGUUAUUAGCGUAUAAAAAAUGAUACGCUAAUACCGGCCCUUUGGAAGGUACAUUAUAAGCAACAUUUAUACAGGGGGAGUAUAAAGAAAUAAAUGCAUCAUGGAUAUCAAAUACAAAA